GCCUCGUUGGCGCAGUAGGCAGCGCAUCAGUCUCAUAAUCUGAAAGUUGUGAGUUCGAGCCUCACACGGGGCA
RNAcentral lists this transfer RNA (73 nucleotides) under Danio rerio (zebrafish). RNAcentral's name for it is "tRNA-Met (CAT) (tRNA-Met-CAT-72-1)". It matches the Rfam family "tRNA". From Rfam's summary of the family: Transfer RNA (tRNA) molecules are approximately 80 nucleotides in length. Their secondary structure includes four short double-helical elements and three loops (D, anti-codon, and T loops). Further hydrogen bonds mediate the characteristic L-shaped molecular structure. tRNAs have two regions of fundamental functional importance: the anti-codon, which is responsible for specific mRNA codon recognition, and the 3' end, to which the tRNAs corresponding amino acid is attached (by aminoacyl-tRNA synthetases). tRNAs cope with the degeneracy of the genetic code in two manners: having more than one tRNA (with a specific anti-codon) for a particular amino acid; and 'wobble' base-pairing, i.e. permitting non-standard base-pairing at the 3rd anti-codon position. The record is from Rfam by way of RNAcentral. Lineage: Eukaryota; Metazoa; Chordata; Actinopteri; Cypriniformes; Danionidae.